Molecule: ribosomal RNA, 727 nt
Filed under: Staphylococcus aureus
Lineage: Bacteria; Bacillati; Bacillota; Bacilli; Caryophanales; Staphylococcaceae
Description: partial 23S ribosomal RNA
Rfam family: Bacterial large subunit ribosomal RNA
Source: RNAcentral
CAAUCGAACCUGGAGAUAGCUGGUUCUCUCCGAAAUAGCUUUAGGGCUAGCCUCAAGUGAUGAUUAUUGGAGGUAGAGCACUGUUUGGACGAGGGGCCCCUCUCGGGUUACCGAAUUCAGACAAACUCCGAAUGCCAAUUAAUUUAACUUGGGAGUCAGAACAUGGGUGAUAAGGUCCGUGUUCGAAAGGGAAACAGCCCAGACCACCAGCUAAGGUCCCAAAAUAUAUGUUAAGUGGAAAAGGAUGUGGCGUUGCCCAGACAACUAGGAUGUUGGCUUAGAAGCAGCCAUCAUUUAAAGAGUGCGUAAUAGCUCACUAGUCGAGUGACACUGCGCCGAAAAUGUACCGGGGCUAAACAUAUUACCGAAGCUGUGGAUUGUCCUUUGGACAAUGGUAGGAGAGCGUUCUAAGGGCGUUGAAGCAUGAUCGUAAGGACAUGUGGAGCGCUUAGAAGUGAGAAUGCCGGUGUGAGUAGCGAAAGACGGGUGAGAAUCCCGUCCACCGAUUGACUAAGGUUUCCAGAGGAAGGCUCGUCCGCUCUGGGUUAGUCGGGUCCUAAGCUGAGGCCGACAGGCGUAGGCGAUGGAUAACAGGUUGAUAUUCCUGUACCACCUAUAAUCGUUUUAAUCGAUGGGGGGACGCAGUAGGAUAGGCGAAGCGUGCGAUUGGAUUGCACGUCUAAGCAGUAAGGCUGAGUAUUAGGCAAAUCCGGUACUCGUUAAGGCU